This 289-nucleotide long non-coding RNA is filed under the name Rattus norvegicus (Norway rat). RNAcentral describes it as "long non-coding RNA NONRATT010679". Lineage: Eukaryota; Metazoa; Chordata; Mammalia; Rodentia; Muridae. The record is from RNAcentral.
UCCUAUUUGUUUGCUGGAUUACAAAAGAACAAAUCCAGUACCUACGUCUGCUUCCUACUAGAACAUGAAAUGAACCAGCUCUGUGUUCCUUGCUGUCCAAGCAUCAGAAUGAAUUGGAACCAGGAGUGGGGCUGUUCCAGCAAACGCUGAUGAGAAAUGCCAGGCUUGUGAGCUGUUUGCUGUGAUGGGACAAUGUCUGAAGUGGUGGGAGUUCCUUCUAUGUCUGGGGCAUAUCUGCUGCUUUUGUGCAGAAGCUACACUCUUAAGAUGAUUAUACCAAUAUCCUAAA